GACGAACGCUGGCGGCGUGCCUAAUACAUGCAAGUCGAACGCACGAAGUUGAAGAGCUUGCUCUUUAACCAAGUGAGUGGCGGACGGGUGAGUAACACGUGGGUAACCUGCCCAUUAGAGGGGGAUAACAUUCGGAAACGGAUGCUAAUACCGCAUAGUUUCAGGGAUCGCAUGAUCCUUGAAGGAAAGGUGGCUCCGGCUACCACUAAUGGAUGGACCCGCGGCGUAUUAGCUAGUUGGUGAGGUAAUGGCUCACCAAGGCAAUGAUACGUAGCCGACCUGAGAGGGUGAUCGGCCACACUGGGACUGAGACACGGCCCAGACUCCUACGGGAGGCAGCAGUAGGGAAUCUUCCGCAAUGGACGAAAGUCUGACGGAGCAACGCCGCGUGAGUGAAGAAGGUUUUCGGAUCGUAAAACUCUGUUGUUAAAGAAGAACAAGGAUGAGAGUAACUGCUCAUCCCCUGACGGUAUUUAACCAGAAAGCCACGGCUAACUACGUGCCAGCAGCCGCGGUAAUACGUAGGUGGCAAGCGUUGUCCGGAUUUAUUGGGCGUAAAGCGAGCGCAGGCGGUUCUUUAAGUCUGAUGUGAAAGCCCCCGGCUCAACCGGGGGAGGGUCAUUGGAAACUGGAGAACUUGAGUGCAGAAGAGGAGAGUGGGAAUUCCACGUGUAGCGGUGAAAUGCGUAGAUAUGUGGAGGAACACCAGUGGCGAAGGCGACUCUCUGGUCUGUAACUGACGCUGAGGCUCGAAAGCGUGGGGAGCAAACAGG
This 773-nucleotide ribosomal RNA is filed under the name uncultured Vagococcus sp. RNAcentral's name for it is "bacterial SSU rRNA". It matches the Rfam family "Bacterial small subunit ribosomal RNA", at positions 28 to 776 of the family's 1533-position model. Lineage: Bacteria; Bacillati; Bacillota; Bacilli; Lactobacillales; Enterococcaceae. The record is from RNAcentral.